CGAAAGCCUGACGGAGCAAUACCGCGUGAGGGAGGAAGGCUCUUGGGUCGUAAACCUCUUUUCUCAAGGAAGAAGAAAGUGACGGUACUUGAGGAAUAAGCAUCGGCUAACUCCGUGCCAGCAGCCGCGGUAAUACGGAGGAUGCAAGCGUUAUCCGGAAUGAUUGGGCGUAAAGGGUCUGUAGGUGGUACUGUAAGUCUGCUGUUAAAGAACCACGCUCAACGUGAUCAAAGCAGUGGAAACUACAGAACUAGAGUGCGGUAGGGGCAGAAGGAAUUCCUGGUGUAGCGGUGAAAUGCGUAGAUAUCAGGAAGAACACCGGUGGCGAAAGCGUUCUGCUAGACCGCAACUGACACUGAGGGACGAAAGCUAGGGGAGCGAAUGGGAUUAGAUACCCCAGUAGUCCUAGCCGUAAACGAUGGAUACUAGGCGUGGCUUGUAUCGACCCGAGCCGUGCCGGAGCUAACGCGUUAAGUAUCCCGCCUGGGGAGUACGCACGCAAGUGUG
This 507-nucleotide ribosomal RNA is filed under the name uncultured cyanobacterium. RNAcentral describes it as "bacterial SSU rRNA". It matches the Rfam family "Bacterial small subunit ribosomal RNA", at positions 376 to 896 of the family's 1533-position model. Lineage: Bacteria; Bacillati; Cyanobacteriota. The record is from RNAcentral.